Colius striatus (speckled mousebird) is the source of this 8481-nucleotide long non-coding RNA. RefSeq lists it as uncharacterized. The record is from RefSeq and is a predicted model, not a curated record. Lineage: Eukaryota; Metazoa; Chordata; Aves; Coliiformes; Coliidae. The transcript has 3 exons.
GUGGAGGGGGCUACCAAGCCCCAUGGCCAGGGAAGAGCGAGCGGUCGGUGGGUCGGUAGCCGCCGCUGUUGUCGCUGCUGCUGUUGCCGCUGCCUCACCGCCCGCCUGCGCUGCCCGCGAAGCCUCUCCGAGCACCCCGGCCCUCCCCUUCCCUCCCCGGCGGGGCUUCCUGCCCGCUCAUAUAGCUCGCCCCCAGCCACGUGGACGGCGCCGGGGGCCCCGCCGGCCCCUCCUCGCAGCCGGGCAGGGCGGUGACGGGGCGGACAAGCCCUCCUUUCCCCUCCCUCCCCUCCGCCCUACACCCCGGGCGGCGGAGCGGAGCGGAGAGGUGCGCACCGCGGAGGAGCGCGGGGGAGGGAUGAGAAGAGGGCUGACGGCCGCCAACACAAACUUCUUCCUGCGCGGCGCCGGGGUGAAACCCUCGCUCCCAACGAGACCUCUCCAGAGGGUCACCGCACCCAGAAAUACCUCUGCUCUCACCCCCACGCCCCCCGAAACUCUCGCCGCUGAAACUGAGCUAUGUGGAUCUCAGAGGUGAUCCCAGCAGGGAAAGAGGAAAGAAAUUCACUGCUUCUCGGAGGAGAAAACAAGCUGCUUGCCACUUUGCUGGAGGUGGGAUGGGGCCCUUGAGGAGCUCCGAUCUGAUCACCCGUGACAGUUUCUGUAACCCUCUCGGCUUGAUACUCUCACACCUUCAGGCAGAUUAGUUGAAUUUGAUGCUUCAUUUCCUUCCUGAUGAUUGCAAGUGAUUGCGUGUGUUUAUGAAAAAAUCACCAGGGAACAGCUCACCAAUAAAAAGGCUGUACAUCAGGAUGUAUCGAGGAAAACACCCUCCCAUCAGGAAUGUCCUGAUUAAUGAUAGCUUAGCAGGCCAACGCUGGAAGAGGUUGCCCAGAGAAGGUGCCGGUGUUCCAUACCUGGAAGUGUUCAAGGACAGAUGAGACUUGGAAUAACUUGGUCUGACGAUUCUGUUUCAUUGCCUGUGACAGGAGGAUUGGUGUGAGGUGGUCUUUAAGGUCCCUUUCAGCCCAAACCAUUCUAUGAAUCUAUGAUUCUACAACUGAAGAAAGGGAACAGAGGAUAAUAUGGAAUUUUCCCUGCAUUUUCAGUCCUAUCUGCAACAUUUGUCUGGAGUUCUGGAGGGGUAAGAUAUGAUACACCCCUCCAGCCAUAGCAGCCUUGGCUACAAGUUGCAAGAAGGAGAUAAGGAAAAGAGCUCUGCAGAGUCUGGUUUUGGUCAGAGAAGCUCCUUUCUGUAGAGCAAGGCAGAAGAGGAGAGUGGGCUUGCCCCAGGGAUGUCUCUGAGAGGCAUGACACAGCAAUAUGGGUAAAAUAUGGAGAAGUUCUUCAGGUCUCUGCUGGUGGCUGGCUAAGCCAAAAGCAGAAACCAAAUCCUCCUGAAACAGCAAGUAUGGAACCUAUUUCUCCUUGUUAUACCAGUGUUACACUCUGUUAACUCCUUCAGAUGCUCUCAACUCCACCGAUGCACCCCAAUGAGCAUGCAAAUGACAAGUGCUCUGUGGUAAUGCCAUAGUGAUUACAGCAGUGUCCAACCUGGAGGAUUGCAUCCUCUCCCCUUUAUACCGUAGCAUUUCCCUAGCAAGUGUCAUUUAGAUGGUUUUGGGAAUGAAUCCAGGAUUUGUUUCAUAGACAGUAUUUCCUCAACAGUUCAGUGAAUAUGAAGUAGUUUGAACUAACCAUGCAAAUCUCUCUUGUCUUCUUAUGUAGAGAAAUGAUAUCUAUUCUAAACUCUGGGCCAGGGCUUUCAGCUGCUGAUGGGGAAUAGCUAUGCAGACAUCAAAGGAGCUGUAUCAGCUUUCACCAAGUGGGGAUCCAGCCCUUUAUUCAUAUUUUAAAAUCCAGAAACUGUGUCUAAGUUAAGCAUUUUUCUCCAUAUUUUUAAGUAACCAGUAUUUUAUUUUAUGGCUGCACCCUCAGUGGUAGGAUUGUUUCUUGUACUCUUAUGUUUAAAGGCCCUUCAAGGCUGAAGGAAUUAAAAUGAAUAAUUUAAAGCUGGUCUAUGAUGCAGAAUUUUUAACAUAUGUUUUACAGGCCAUGCAGAACACUUUUUUUUGUCUUGUCAGUAGAUAUUUUACAAACAUGCUGUACUGGAACCAAAGCCCUUUUUAUUUAAUACUCAGAUCUGAGUCCUCCUAUGCAUAGACACAGCAGCGUGCUGGAGUCUACAAGCCAUAACAAGGAAAGCAUUAUCACUGACACUGAUCAGAAAAGGGGAGAAAUAAGUGAUUUCACCACUUUUCCCUCUGCCACACAUUGAUAAACCAGAAAUGGGCAGAACUGCGGCUCUCCCACCUCAGAAAGCUUCAUCCCAAGACAGAGAGAGAGAUGCUGUAAUUUGUUUAACCUAAAGCUGCAAAAGGGCUGAACCCCAGUAAUGCUGGAGAAGGAGAUGUGAAGCCUGUUGGCUUUUGGCUAAUUCUGGAAGGUUGGCUGGAGUAUUUUCUUUUCCAAUCUCCUGUUAACUUCCUAAACAGUGUAAUUGGUCGCUCUUGCCAGUUUUGAUGAGUAAUGAUAACUGCUAGUCAAUAACCAAUGAGUCACCUUUUAUGGAUUUCAUGUCCUGUCCCAUCCUAACUCCUUGCAACAGCAUAGGGAGGAGGCACCUACUCUGCAGAGGCUCAAAAUCAGAGCGGGUUUCAGUCUUAUGGACUGGUUUCCACACUUUCCCUUGUUUUCCCAUAUUGUCCAGCAUUUCAUUUCUAUUUUAUAAUUACUUCAGAUUUACAAUUAAAAAUAAGUAAUUUUUAUCGUUUAAAAAGCUCUUUGGGCCAAAUCCAAUUUCAAGUAUUUCAGCAAGAUGCAAGUUUAGGCACUGCAAUGGCAGAAUGUAGAUUUGGGCUUGUGUUUGUUCUCCCCUCAUUUGCUCUCCCUUCAGUAGGUAAUCUGUCAUCUUUCAAACAAGCUAAUUGCCAUUGUGUCUAGGCCAAGAAGAAGUAGUUAAAAUAGAAAAAUCAGCAUUUGGUGUGUACUUGGUUGCCAAGAAGCUAUUUCUCCUCUCCUAUGUAAAUAAAUUGUCGUUCAGAAACGGUUGGCUUGCUCUAAAAGAUGUGCUAAGUGCUUCUCUUGCACUGUGCUUCCAUUGCAGAGAGAGAGUUGAGGAUUCAGGAAUGUGGCCAGUUAAUGCCCCAUCCCCAGCUUCCCCCAUCAGAUCUGUCAAAGGGGACCAUGCUUUACACAGGCUGAAGUGUGAGUGGAUAAUCACCGUCUCAAUUAACAUGUUGUGCCGUGUGUUACUGACCUUGCCAAUUAUGUCACUAGUCCAGGACCAAGCUCCAUGCAGGUGGAUCUCUUUACAAGGCAAAGUGGUUUGCUUGCAAAUCUAUAUGUAUUUAUGUUACUAAUCAUUCAUGUUUGUUAUGUAUUGUACAGAUGACACCUGUUGAUUGGCAUGACUAUCUGUGAAAGAGAUUAAAUACUUUCAAUGCAACUUUAUAAACAUGAAACUGAGAAUAUUGACUACAAAUAGACCCUAUGUAAUUUGUUUAUUCUGAUUGGUAAGAGAGACAAAUGGUCUACAUAGGUCUCAUCUCCACUGAAGAGAUAAAAGUUGUGCUGUAUUUGAAUGUGUAAAAUGUGUGAACGUGUGUUUGAAUGUGUAAAACUGCCCUUACAUAACUUGCUACAGGAGCACAUGGCACACAGUGAGCACUUUAUAAUGCUGAUAGCAAUUGACUUUGCCAUAACUGAUAGACAGUUUUGUCUAAUCUGCUUUGGACUUCUUGGGUUUUUUUGUUUUUGCAAUCAAUACUCUGCACUUUUGACAGAUGCUGUACAACUGUCAUAGUCUUCCCUGAUGCAAAGUCUACUAAAGGCACUGUUAAGGGCUCAGAAGUUUAAAACAGGCUUUUAGAUUACAUCCUCAGCCUCCAUAUUUCACAGAAUCAGGCUCUGGCAUUGAGGUGUGAUAAAAGCAAAGAGAAAAAAACAAAAAAAGCAUCUGACUUCCUUCUCUGCUUGCUCUUGAAGUUCAUAUGGCAGAGACUGAUAUGUUAUGCUUUUUAAGUGUUUCAUACACGUGUGGCAUGUUCGCUCUCCCCAGCAUAAAUGACCAUUCUUGGCAGUUCAGGCAUCACCUGUGGAAAGUCUCAACUGUAAAAUUCACCUGAUUUACCUUCAUGCAUCUUGAUCCCAUAGUGCCUUGAGUACAAUUUAUUCCCAGCUGCUUCAGCUGAAAACCCGCAGCUUUUUCCAUGCCAAGACUUGAAAAUGUGUGUAUUAGCUGAUGAUGAAGUUAUUUGCAGUAUUUCAUUUUAUUUCAUUUCAUCUUCUCCCCAGGAUAGUCAGGAAUAAAGCAAAAGGGGAAAUUAGACUUAGACUCAGAAAAUAAACAUUGUUGAUUAGGUUGAAGUAUCUAUUAGGCUUGUGUUUGAGUUUCUAGCUCACAAGAAGGAUGGCAAGCAAUGCCUGUUAAAGAAACAUUUUGACAAGAAUGUGUUUUUCUGUGGCUCAAACAAAAUAAAUAUAGUAAUGCAGAGAAACCUUUUCAAAGUCAGGCUUAUGUGCUUGUCUGAUCAGCUCUAGCUAUCCGUUUCAUCUCUCCUGAAUGUCACAGCAACAUGCCAGCUGUGCCACCGUGCAGUAUUCGAGAUAAAUGGUUUUCCUCAAAGGACAUUGCACACAUACCAAGGGCUGUACAUGCUGCAUUAAGUUAAACACAAACAAAACAAACCACUCAUUGCACGUGGACGUCAUCUCGUGGGAAAAUUAUGACCGAAACAGUGAACCACACCUGGUAGAUAUUAGUCAUAUAGCUUAAUUUAGUGUGGAAAGGCAUUUAGGUUUAAUGGUAAAAAAGCAAUAUAAUAAACUAGAUAAGGUGUCAAAGUUGGGGUUUUUUCCUAGAUAUUUAAGUUAAAAAAAAAUUUUAUUGUCCCUUCCAGCUGGUGGGAUGGGCUAGGAAGAUAUAGUGUGGGCAGUAUCACUCCAGGGAGACAGUGAGUGUUUGUGCUGCAGUAGAGAUGAAGAUCUGCUGUUAACCCACAGCCUGUAGGUCAGUGUAGGACAGAGUAUCUGAGGUAUUACCAAAGAGGAAAAAAAAGUAGGUUUAGAAAUAAAUCUCCCAGCUGUAGACUGGAAAACACUCAGGUUGUGUUAUUUCUGUGUGCAAAAGAAUUCUUCGCUACAGCCCUAAGUCAGCUGUAAUGCUGUUUUAGAUCUGGUAUUAACAUAUCAGGAAUUAGAGAAGAGCUUGUCAUCAAAGAUCACGAUCCUGUCUUUUUCCACUUAAGUAGCGUGGUAAGAUAAACAAAGCCAAGACUGCAAAUGCAGUUCCCUCAUUGCAAAAAAGCAAAUUUGAGUAAAUUAAGUUCUUUCAAUGAUUAGAGAUGAGAACUGGACAAAACAUUUUAAAGGCUUAAAAACUGUCUUUCUGUAAACCAGACUGGUCACACAUUCAGAACAUAGCUUAUAUCUAAGCAAAUGAAAGAAAAAAAUGAUUCAGAGAACCAUAGAACAAUUAAUAUAAGCUUAAUACAGUGUGAUUUCUUAGAGUAAAUUCAGAAGUAAAAAUGAAAUUAAGAUCUGGGCAUAAAUACAAAAUGGGAUAAAAGGCAAACCUGUGUUUACCAGAGAGAGAUCCAACAAGAAUAAUUUGUAAAUGUACUGGAAACAAGAAGUGAUUCUCAGGAAAGGAUUAGCAUAGUAGAUUGUCUUUACCUCAUCUUUGAUGAAGCAGAUGAAAUGGUGCUACCCAGAAAAUUAUCUUUCUUGAAAGCUAAGAGUGGUACAGGACUGGUGAACCAAAGUCCAUGUGUGCUGAGGAUAAACCAUUAAAACUUACAAUCUUUGGUGCUUUAUGUAAUACUGGAUUCAAAAUAGCUUCUUCAGAAGAUCUGGGAGAUCUUUGUGCUUCUCCCAGUCUCCUACCAUCUCAUUGGACCUACUGGUUUUGCCUGGUGUUGAGGUGCUUCCUUAACAUGUAGAAAGCAGUCAUCAAAUUUGAGGGAGUUGUCAAGGUGCACUUUAGAUCAAGGUAACUGAGGUAGCCUUUACCCUUACAAAUGAAUCAAACCAUUUGCCUUGAGAUAAGAGCUUUUUACUUGCUUCCAAUUAGGAAGAGGAAAGAUUGUGGUGUACAGGAUGACUCUAAACUGCCAGCGGGAUGAAGCCAUGAAAUGGGCAAAUGAGAUUUGCUCAGCCUUGCAAAAUAAAAGCUGAGGGGGAAUCCCAUUGCUGCCAAUUGAUUGGGAAGUAAAUGUCAGGGAAGGGAGGAAUGUGUAGCAGAUAAAGGAGGAAUGAGUAUCAGCUGCAGGUGGAUGUAUUCAGGAUGUAAAUUAAAAUAAUAUUACUUAAUUAUCAUACAAAAAGGCAGAGAUGCAAGGAAGCCUUCAGUGCAGAGUCAUAGAAUGGUAGGGGUUGGAUGGGCCUUUUAGAGAUCAUCUAGUCCAACCCUCUGGCAGAAGCAGGUCCACCUAGAGAAGAGAGAACAAAUUCUCCAAAGUUGUGGAGAUAUAUUGAUGUAUUGAUAUAUUCCUGGGGAACAUUUUAAAUAGUUUCCUGCAUGGAAAAAAAACACCUAAAUUAAUGAAUUAGACCUUAUAUAAAGAAGUGUAGCUUGGUGCUGUAUAUGCUUGAAGAUAUCUAUCACCAGUGAGUGGCACCAGUUAUAUUGUGCUAAAAGAAGUAAGAAACAAAGACACUAAGCAAACUGGCAGAGAUUCUGCUGGCCCUAGCGAAGGCCAUCAUCCAGGACCCAUUCCUAACCUGUCUGAUGGGCAAAGUGAUGCCUGGUUCACUCCUACAGAAACACUGAGCCCAUGACCAGCCCAAAAAAAGGCUGAAAAUAGGGAACUGCUUGUCAUGAGAAGUGCUGUUGAGAUCUGGUAUUAUUAAUAUGUUCACAUAGUCACAUACUAUGCAAUGUUAAAAGUUUCCCACAGGUAAAUUGUUCCAAAAUGCAGUUUCUAAAGAUUUGCUUUUGGGCAGAGGAAGGAUUUUUCAUUAAAAAAAUGUGCUGGUACAGCACAGUAGUGUUUCCAUAGUGUAACAUUAGCUGCUGUUCCAUUUCCAUUGUUACUGCUAGUUUGUAUCAUCAAAUGUGCUUUUUAUCUUUUUCCUUACUUACAUGGUACUUUGAGCAGUUUGAGAAGUCAAAAUAAAUUUUGAUCAAGAUACAGGGGGAAAGAAAAACCUGCUGUGAUAGAGGCUGGCAUUCCAGUUUCAUCACUGUUAAUUAAACAGGAUGUGUUUCAAAGUAAGCCUCAUGAGUACAUACAAGGUUGCAAUGCCUUUGCAAUUGUCUCAGUGUUUUACUAUUUCUUUCAGAGAACGUUUUUCCGAGUUGAGAACUCUCCCUCACAGUGUCUGAGCGUUGAAAUUUUAUCUGUUGGUAACUUCAGACACGAGGGCUCCAUCCCUUGUACAUCCCUCCUCCAUGAUGUAAGUCAGCUUUUUGGUGCCUUUCAUAGAUCUGUGAUGAUUUGUAUCUCCCACAGAUCCACCCUCACCUUUUAUUUUGUAGGACACUCAUUAGGUCUUAGUUUUCUUUUACCAUUCACAUGUCUCCAAGUAUUAAUCCUAUGUAAAGUAUACCUUAUGGGAACAUAGGUCAUAGAGUAGGAGCUGAAAAUACACAGUUGUCUAAGAAAUAAACCACUGAGCUGUUACAUUCCCUUUUUUCCCCUACAGUAUCUUCAUAGAUCUUCUCAGUGAUAUACUAUCCUGCCUCUCUCCAGAAAUACACCCAUUCUAACACAAAAAAAAAGCCAUUUCUCUUGAUGUUUGUUCCACUUCCCUUCUCCAUACUGUGUUAAAGCCUAUGUAUCAUCAUCAUUGGAUGAUAUCAGUAUGGUUUACAGUCAUUCCUAGCAGUCCCUAUCAAGGGUUAAGGACUUAUUUAGUACAGACACACAUUUCCUACAGCAACUGGCUCAUACUGCAGUGACUCCUCCCCGAGGAGCAGUUGAAUUAGGAGCUGAGAUACCAUCCUUAUGGGAUGCUACUAUGUCUCUGAGCACUGAGAAGAGAGAUGCAGCUUCCUGCAGAUCUAUUUAUUGUUUUACACCAAGGAAUAUGAGCAAAGUAGGAAACACUGUGUACAAAGACACAAGGACAGAGCUCAGUGCAUAUGUCACUUCCCAGCUGCCCCUGUGAUGCAUUAACUCUGCUCUACAAAGGGGUCAGGAGAGCUGGUUGGCAGUAGUUCACAUGAGGCAGCAGAACAUGUUCAACUGAAUGUGAAUUGAGCCCAAAAUGCAGACCCCUGUGGAAAAAAAUUCUCUUUAUCUCUGAGACUAAAAGGUUGUGGGCACUGAUACCACUUGAAAGGGGCUGAACAAACUCAAUCGCUCAAAUCUCCAUUUGUCACUCAAUGGAGGUACAAGACUGAAAAACUGUUGCUUCUAGGGGAAGCAUCUCAGAAGAUUUGUUCUAUCCUACUUGCAAGUUGUUCUUAUCUGUGCAGACCCAAUUCUUGUGAUCAUUUCCAUGACUAUAUAGAAUGUAAUUAUGUAGUUAUGUUCA